GUCAGAGGCGAUGAAGGGCGUGCUAAUCUGCGAUAAGCGCCGGUAAGGUGAUAUGAACCGUUAUAACCGGCGAUACCCGAAUGGGGAAACCCAGUGUGAUUCGUCACACUAUCAUUAACUGAAUCCAUAGGUUAAUGAGGCGAACCGGGGGAACUGAAACAUCUAAGUACCCCGAGGAAAAGAAAUCAACCGAGAUUCCCCCAGUAGCGGCGAGCGAACGGGGAGGAGCCCAGAGCCUGAAUCAGCAUGUGUGUUAGUGGAAGCGUCUGGAAAGGCGCGCGAUACAGGGUGACAGCCCCGUACACAAAAGCGCAUGUGCUGUGAGCUCGAUGAGUAGGGCGGGACACGUGGUAUCCUGUCUGAAUAUGGGGGGACCAUCCUCCAAGGCUAAAUACUCCUGACUGACCGAUAGUGAACCAGUACCGUGAGGGAAAGGCGAAAAGAACCCCGGCGAGGGGAGUGAAAAAGAACCUGAAACCGUGUACGUACAAGCAGUGGGAGC
RNAcentral lists this ribosomal RNA (502 nucleotides) under Salmonella enterica subsp. enterica serovar Weltevreden. RNAcentral's name for it is "partial 23S ribosomal RNA". It matches the Rfam family "Bacterial large subunit ribosomal RNA", at positions 39 to 580 of the family's 2925-position model. The record is from RNAcentral. RNAcentral also lists the same sequence under 1 other name. Lineage: Bacteria; Pseudomonadati; Pseudomonadota; Gammaproteobacteria; Enterobacterales; Enterobacteriaceae.